Molecule: ribosomal RNA, 1218 nt
Filed under: Triticum aestivum (bread wheat)
Lineage: Eukaryota; Viridiplantae; Streptophyta; Magnoliopsida; Poales; Poaceae
Description: partial small subunit ribosomal RNA
Source: RNAcentral
AUGAUCCCUGCAAACAGGAGGGGAACACAGCCUAGGGCUGGGAUGGAGUACUUUGAUGCUAGGCGUAAACCACAUAAUAUUGGGAAAGUCAUUGUGGCCCUGCUCUUCAUAGCACUCUGUAUAUUUGUUCUGAAGCAAUCUCCUGGUUUUGGUGGCAAUAGUGUGUUUUCUCGUCAUGAACCUGGGGUUACCCAUGUCUUAGUGACAGGAGGAGCUGGCUAUAUUGGUUCACAUGCCUCAUUACGGCUAUUAAAAGACAACUAUCGAGUUACCAUUGUGGACAAUCUUUCUAGAGGAAAUAAAGGAGCAGUAAAGGUUCUCCAAGAAUUGUUUCCGGAGCCUGGGAGACUUCAAUUCAUCUAUGCAGAUCUUGGGGAUCAAAAAUCUGUCAACAAGAUAUUUUCUGAAAAUGCAUUUGAUGCUGUGAUGCACUUUGCGGCUGUUGCCUAUGUGGGUGAGAGUACAAUGGAACCCCUUAGGUAUUAUCACAAUAUUACAUCAAACACCUUACUGAUUUUGGAGGCUAUGGCUUCUCAUGGAGUCAAGACACUUAUUUACUCUAGUACCUGUGCAACUUAUGGAGAACCAGAGAAGAUGCCUAUAAUAGAAACCACACCUCAGUUGCCAAUUAACCCCUAUGGAAAAGCCAAGAAAAUGGCAGAGGACAUCAUACUAGAUUUCUCAAAGAGAACAGAUAUGGCUGUCAUGAUUUUAAGAUAUUUCAAUGUCAUUGGAUCAGACCCGGAGGGAAGAUUAGGUGAGGCUCCUAGGCCUGAGCUACGAGAGCAUGGAAGAAUAUCUGGAGCAUGCUUUGAUGCAGCACUAGGAGUCAUUUCAGGAUUGAAGGUUAAAGGGAUAGAUUAUCCUACAGCUGAUGGAACCUGCAUAAGAGACUACAUUGAUGUCACAGAUCUAGUAGAUGCUCAUGUGAAAGCACUCAACAAGGCAGAGCCUAGUAGAGUUGGCAUUUAUAAUGUUGGCACUGGAAGAGGCCGUUCCGUUAAGGAGUUUGUCGAUGCCUGCAAGCAGGCAACUGGGGUUGACAUCAAAAUUGAGUACCUCAGCAGGAGGCCAGGAGACUAUGCUGAAGUAUUCAGUGACCCUACCAAGAUCAACAGUGAGCUCAACUGGACUGCUCAACACACCGAUCUGAAGGAAAGCCUGUCUGUCGCAUGGAGGUGGCAAAAGUCGCAUCCGCGUGGCUAUGGGGCAAAUUAG